UGGGUAGUCCGCACGAGCGCACCUUACUUUUAGUUGCUAUCAUUCCGUUGGGCACUCUAAAAGAACUGCCAGUGAUAAGCUGGAGGAAGGUGGGGAUGACGUCAAGUCCUCAUGGCCCUUAUGUGUUGGGCUACACACGUGCUACAAUGGUAUUUACAAUGGGAUGCAAAGAGGCAACUCCUAGCAAACCCUCAAAAAAUACCUCAGUUCGGAUUGUACUCUGCAACUCGAGUACAUGAAGCUGGAAUUACUAGUAAUCGCGGAUCAGCGCGCCGCGGUGAAUACGUUCCCGGGUCUUGUACACACCGCCCGUCACACCAUGGAAGUUGGUUACACCUUAAGGCAAAGUGUAAAAUCUUUGACUACGGUACGAUCAGCGACUGGGGUGAAGUCGUAACAAGGUAGCCGUAGGGGAACCUGCGGCUGGAUCACCUCCUUUCU
This 441-nucleotide ribosomal RNA is filed under the name uncultured Pelagibacterales bacterium. RNAcentral's name for it is "bacterial SSU rRNA". It matches the Rfam family "Bacterial small subunit ribosomal RNA", at positions 1077 to 1533 of the family's 1533-position model. The record is from RNAcentral. Lineage: Bacteria; Pseudomonadati; Pseudomonadota; Alphaproteobacteria; Candidatus Pelagibacterales.